Molecule: long non-coding RNA, 1608 nt
Organism: Neopsephotus bourkii (Bourke's parrot)
Lineage: Eukaryota; Metazoa; Chordata; Aves; Psittaciformes; Psittacidae
Exons: 3
Source: RefSeq, a predicted model, not a curated record
CUAUGAAAAAACACUGGUAGUAAUCUCAUGGCUCUUGGCUUGAAGAGUAAGAGCAGGGCAGUGUCUGGCCCACUUCAACCUCCAUCUCUAAAUUGAGAUUUAAGGAUAGAAUAAGCUGGAGGAGGGAUGAACACUGUGUAAUGAUGAUAAAAGUUGGGCAAUGCAGAUUUGAGGUUCAUGCAAAGAACAGAACGCUCUCUUCACGCGUGGCUGUUCCAGUAACUACUUUCAUUAUGUUAUGACAAAAACGUAUGUGCAAAACUAAUGAUAUAUGCUGCUAAUAUUAGCUACAACAGUCUCUCUCCAUUUUCCUUUCCACUCUUCAACUGGAUAAAUGCUCAGUUAGUGGGAUUUUUGCUUGACUCAGGAAUAGUAAAGAGCAAGUGAGAUUUAUCACGUAGCUGAAGGUGUACUUCAUUUGCAUUCUAUUAACUGUACUGUCUGAUUAAAAGUCAGUUUGGGGAGCAUGUGUCAGAGAGAACAUGAUAUGCAUGAGGAAGUGGGUUGCUGUAGAAACUCUAACUCUGCAGCUAUAUCUCCACCAAAGGCAUGCUGAGUCAUAACUGCCAUCCAUUUAUUUAGCACAGUUUGGUAGGAGUAAACAGCACCUUGGUAUAGCCGAUUCCUUUGCUCCUUUCCCCCCAGGUCAGUGGAGCCAAGCAGCAGCAUUGAUGCCUUCUUAUUGUCCACAAACCCUAGAGGGAUUAAGCUGGGAGUCAGGCUUUGGUAUCUAAAAUGAGCAAGACAGAGGAUUAUUGGACUUCCUGGCUCUAGUCCUGGCGCGUGGAAGCAUCACAGAGACAUUCCAUUGGAGAGGUACAAGGUAGUCUGUGAAGUGAUGACCCACCUUCUUUCAUUCCUGAGUAAAGAGCUGCAGUUGAGCCAGUCACAGCUUGUGCUGAAGGCACUGGGUGGCUUUGCCUGAGGAUUGCUUUAUCAGACUGAUUGACUUCCUUUGGAGCAAUGCAGUAGAUGAAAUGUGGGGAUGUGCUGUGCAAAGCAGCCAUCAGUCAGUUCAGCAACUCCUGGAAUGAGACAAAGGAAUGGAGUGAGAGAACUAACAGAAGUUAUGAAGGCUGGAGAGAGAAAAUCUUCUGGUUUAUAAAGUCAUUUGUGUUUCACAGCUGGAAACAAGCAAACAAACCAAAAACCCCACAUAAAACAAGGUAGGAAGCAAGCCCGGCCAUACGUAAUCCUAGGGAACAAGGUUACCUGCAUGGAGGCAACCUUGGACAUGGUGUGAAGCUGCACCAAUUUUAGUUCUGCAUUGGUAAGAUGAGGGUGACAGCAUUGGCCAUCUGUGGGCAGGGUUGAAGAUAAACUGGGAAGACAGAGCUGCUGCUGGAAUACAAAGGCAUGGAUGAUUGCUUAUCCUAUAGAAGCUGGAAGCAGUCAUAAAGGGGACCCUCUUCCCUGCCUCUUGCUGCCACCAGCUAAAAUCAAUAGUAUUGCACAGAAUAUGUGAGAGAUGCUCUUGCAGAGGACUCACACUGAAGUGUGUUAUACUGUAGCCUCCAACAUAAAUCUGUCUUAACUGACUUAAGUCAGCAAUUCAGUGCUGUCUGUAUAAACUGUUGACUGAAUAAAAUAUGCAUCAUUUUACCUGCA